UCACAACCCUCUUUCUCCAAAAUUUCUGAUGUUCCACAUCUCCUAGGGCGUGUACAAGGGUUGGAGAAAUUUCAGCGUUCAUGUCCGAAUUUAAGCAUACAAAUAUUGAGAACUAAUCAAAAUGCAAAUUACGAAAAGAGGACUAGCAGAGUAGCUAGCUAGCGCCGCCUGCAAGAACAAAUCUUCGAUCCGUCCCAUUCAAAUUCAGGCAGGCGGUCAAGAGGCUUCCUGGAACUCCACCACCACCACGGCUUUUUCCUCCUUGCCGCCCGCGUCGGCGCCGCGGAGCAGCCGCCGCACCGCGGCGAUGAGCCGCUCGGCCGCGGCCGGCGUCCGGCGCCCGCCGAGCGCGUGGCAGAAGGCGGCGUGCCCCGCGAUCGCUGCCUCGAGCUCCAGCACCGAGCCGCCCCCGGCGGCGACCUCCUCGCCCACGGCGUCGCCGCAGAGCCCGCACAGCCAGCGCCCGCCGUACCGCGCGCGCACGCCGGCCGCGUACGCCGGCGUGCACUCCUCCCUGAGCCCGCAGCAGGCGCACACCUCCCACUCCUCCGCCUCGGCCACGGCCACGACGGCCGGCGCCACCUCCUGCUCGGCCGCCACGGACAUCGGGGAGAAGUCCAGAGAGAGAUUCCGCCGCCGCAGUACGGCUGAAGGCAAGGGAAUAAGAACUUCUCUUCCACGAAUUAUUCGAAUCCGUCAAGGCAAGGGCGGCGGCGAGGAGGUGUUACUCGGCGGUGGUGAGGGCAUGGGGGAGGGGCGGUGGAUGGAGCGGCGGCUCGUCCAUGGUGGAGGUCUGGAGGAGGUGGAGAGCAGGGCAGCGGAGCUGCGAUUG
This 832-nucleotide long non-coding RNA is filed under the name Zea mays. RNAcentral describes it as "long non-coding RNA (ZMAY_LNC005893)". The record is from RNAcentral. Lineage: Eukaryota; Viridiplantae; Streptophyta; Magnoliopsida; Poales; Poaceae.